GCCCUGUGAUGAGACCAAGGCGAAUAUGAACUCACUGAAUGAGAGUGGGGUGGGGUUAUGCCAUGACUGGCAGGUAAUCUUGGCAGUGCAGGGGAGGAUUCCUGCUCUGCUGUAAGGGCCUGCCAACAGUGACUUAGCUCAACCCAAAUUAUUCCUUUAAAGUCGUAGCGGAAUAAUUGCUUGGGCAAUGCUUACAGUGUGUGUGCGGUGUGUAUGCAUUUGUGUGUUGUAUUCAUGUGUGUGGAAGGCAAAAACCUCACUCUGCUCUCCUUGCUGUUUAGUGAGCCAUGAGUUUUGUCUUUGGUAAUCUGAGGGCA
This is a small nucleolar RNA of Cololabis saira (Pacific saury), 317 nucleotides long. NCBI's taxonomy places the organism in Eukaryota, Metazoa, Chordata, Actinopteri, Beloniformes, Belonidae. The record is from RefSeq and is a predicted model, not a curated record.